UAGCUCAGUUGGUAGAGCAUGGUGCUUGCAAUGCCAGGGUUGUGGGUUUGAUUCCCAC
RNAcentral lists this transfer RNA (58 nucleotides) under Oncorhynchus mykiss (rainbow trout). It matches the Rfam family "tRNA", at positions 8 to 63 of the family's 71-position model. Rfam says of the family: Transfer RNA (tRNA) molecules are approximately 80 nucleotides in length. Their secondary structure includes four short double-helical elements and three loops (D, anti-codon, and T loops). RNAcentral also lists the same sequence under 4 other names. Lineage: Eukaryota; Metazoa; Chordata; Actinopteri; Salmoniformes; Salmonidae. The record is from Rfam by way of RNAcentral.